UGGGGAAUAUUGCACAAUGGGCGCAAGCCUGAUGCAGCCAUGCCGCGUGUAUGAAGAAGGCCUUCGGGUUGUAAAGUACUUUCAGUCGGGAGGAAGGUGUCAAGGUUAAUAACCUUGGCAAUUGACGUUACCGACAGAAGAAGCACCGGCUAACUCCGUGCCAGCAGCCGCGGUAAUACGGAGGGUGCAAGCGUUAAUCGGAAUUACUGGGCGUAAAGCGCACGCAGGCGGUUUGUUAAGUCAGAUGUGAAAUCCCCGGGCUCAACCUGGGAACUGCAUCUGAUACUGGCAAGCUUGAGUCUCGUAGAGGGGGGUAGAAUUCCAGGUGUAGCGGUGAAAUGCGUAGAGAUCUGGAGGAAUACCGGUGGUGAAGGCGGCCCCCUGGACGAAGACUGACGCUCAGGUGCGAAAGCGUGGGGAGCAAACAGG
Molecule: ribosomal RNA, 429 nt
Filed under: Chloroflexota bacterium
Lineage: Bacteria; Bacillati; Chloroflexota
Description: Chloroflexi bacterium partial 16S ribosomal RNA
Rfam family: Bacterial small subunit ribosomal RNA
Source: RNAcentral